RNAcentral lists this transfer RNA (72 nucleotides) under Capra hircus (goat). It matches the Rfam family "tRNA". From Rfam's summary of the family: Transfer RNA (tRNA) molecules are approximately 80 nucleotides in length. Their secondary structure includes four short double-helical elements and three loops (D, anti-codon, and T loops). The record is from Rfam by way of RNAcentral. Lineage: Eukaryota; Metazoa; Chordata; Mammalia; Artiodactyla; Bovidae. RNAcentral also lists the same sequence under 1 other name.
UCCCUGAUGGCUCAGAUGGUAAAGAACCUGCCUGCAAUGCAGGAGACCCAGGUUUGAUCCCUGGGUUGGGAA